This 344-nucleotide ribosomal RNA is filed under the name uncultured bacterium. RNAcentral describes it as "bacterial SSU rRNA". It matches the Rfam family "Bacterial small subunit ribosomal RNA", at positions 22 to 356 of the family's 1533-position model. The record is from RNAcentral.
GCUCAGGACGAACGCUGGCGGCGUGCCUAAUACAUGCAAGUAGAACGCUGAAGACUUUAGCUUGCUAAAGUUGGAAGAGUUGCGAACGGGUGAGUAACGCGUAGGUAACCUGCCUACUAGCGGGGGAUAACUAUUGGAAACGAUAGCUAAUACCGCAUAACAGCAUUUAACCCAUGUUAGAUGCUUGAAAGGAGCAAUUGCUUCACUAGUAGAUGGACCUGCGUUGUAUUAGCUAGUUGGUGAGGUAACGGCUCACCAAGGCGACGAUACAUAGCCGACCUGAGAGGGUGAUCGGCCACGCUGGGACUGAGACACGGCCCAGACUCCUACGGGAGGCAGCAGUA